Molecule: ribosomal RNA, 269 nt
Filed under: uncultured bacterium
Lineage: Bacteria
Description: partial 16S ribosomal RNA
Rfam family: Bacterial small subunit ribosomal RNA
Source: RNAcentral
UUGGUAUCUUAGUGGCGGACGGGUGAGUAACGCGUGGGUAACCUGCCUUACACUGGGGGAUAACACUUAGAAAUAGGUGCUAAUACCGCAUAACAGGAGAAGACGCAUGUCUUUUCCUUGAAAACUCCGGUGGUGUAAGAUGGACCCGCGUCUGAUUAGCUGGUUGGCGGGGUAACGGCCCACCAAGGCGACGAUCAGUAGCAGGCCUGAGAGGGUGAACGGCCACAUUGGGACUGAGACACGGCCCAAACUCCUACGGAAGGCAGCAG